UACAGGGGGUGCAAACGUUGCUCGGAAUUAUUGGGCGUAAAGAGCUCGUAGGCGGUCUGUCGCGUCGGUCGUGAAAACUUGGGGCUUAACCCUGAGCUUGCGGUCGAUACGGGCAUGACUGGAGUUCGGCAGGGGAGACUGGAAUUCCUGGUGUAGCGGUGAAAUGCGCAGAUAUCAGGAGGAACACCGGUGGCGAAGGCGGGUCUCUGGACCGCAACUGACGCUGAGGCGCGAAAGCUAGGGGAGCAAACAGG
This 254-nucleotide ribosomal RNA is filed under the name uncultured bacterium. RNAcentral describes it as "partial 16S ribosomal RNA". It matches the Rfam family "Bacterial small subunit ribosomal RNA", at positions 524 to 776 of the family's 1533-position model. The record is from RNAcentral.